CUACGGGAGGCAGCAGUGAGGAAUAUUGCACAAUGGGGGGAACCCUGAUGCAGCAACGCCGCGUGGAGGAUGACGCAUUUCGGUGUGUAAACUCCUUUUAUAUGUCAAGAAAAUGACGGUAGCAUAUGAAUAAGCACCGGCUAACUCCGUGCCAGCAGCCGCGGUAAUACGGAGGGUGCAAGCGUUACUCGGAAUCACUUGGCGUAAAGGACGCGUAGGCGGGUUGGAAAGUCAGGUGUGAAAUCCUACAGCUUAACUGUAGAACUGCACUUGAAACUUCUAAUCUAGAGUAUGGGAGGGGGAGAUGGAAUUAGUGGUGUAGGGGUAAAAUCCGUAGAUAUCACCAGGAAUACCUAAAGCGAAGGCGAUCUCCUGGAACAUUACUGACGCUAAGGCGUGAAAGCGUGGGGAGCAAACAGGAUUAGAUACCCGUGUAGUC
RNAcentral lists this ribosomal RNA (439 nucleotides) under uncultured bacterium. RNAcentral's name for it is "partial 16S ribosomal RNA". It matches the Rfam family "Bacterial small subunit ribosomal RNA", at positions 339 to 795 of the family's 1533-position model. The record is from RNAcentral.